UUGGUGUUUAGUCUGCGGUUGUUACACCUUGAUGAGAACACUAGAAUUACCUUUAAAUGUUGAUCCUGGAUUUGACACGUUCGUCCGUCCCUCCUGUCUUACUGAUAACAUUGCCAAGUCCUUGCAACAUUUUUGAGUCUCACCACCUUCAACUGCAUGUGUUGAAAACUGUGUGACAGCAGGCUAAUAUCGUCUACAAAAUCCAGAUCUUCCAGCUUCUGGUACAGAGGAACACUGAGACACAGCACUGGAUGAAUUGAAUACCCAGCCAUCAUUGAGGAAUUCCACAGGAUGCACCUGGAAGUCCUACUCCUUCCUCUAGGGGGCACUGUCCUUCACAUCAGUGACAAACAACUGGAGACACUCCUGGAGUGGUAGGUAUUGUCACAAAC
This is a long non-coding RNA of Scleropages formosus (Asian bonytongue), 392 nucleotides long. RefSeq lists it as uncharacterized. The record is from RefSeq and is a predicted model, not a curated record. The transcript has 3 exons. NCBI's taxonomy places the organism in Eukaryota, Metazoa, Chordata, Actinopteri, Osteoglossiformes, Osteoglossidae.